This 75-nucleotide transfer RNA is filed under the name Roseibium aggregatum. RNAcentral describes it as "tRNA-Thr". It matches the Rfam family "tRNA". Rfam says of the family: Transfer RNA (tRNA) molecules are approximately 80 nucleotides in length. Their secondary structure includes four short double-helical elements and three loops (D, anti-codon, and T loops). Further hydrogen bonds mediate the characteristic L-shaped molecular structure. tRNAs have two regions of fundamental functional importance: the anti-codon, which is responsible for specific mRNA codon recognition, and the 3' end, to which the tRNAs corresponding amino acid is attached (by aminoacyl-tRNA synthetases). tRNAs cope with the degeneracy of the genetic code in two manners: having more than one tRNA (with a specific anti-codon) for a particular amino acid; and 'wobble' base-pairing, i.e. permitting non-standard base-pairing at the 3rd anti-codon position. The record is from RNAcentral. Lineage: Bacteria; Pseudomonadati; Pseudomonadota; Alphaproteobacteria; Hyphomicrobiales; Stappiaceae.
GCGCUUGAAGUUCAACGGUUGAACAGCGGGCCUGUAACCCGUUAGCAACAGGUUCGACUCCUGUCUUGCGCUCCA